UACGGCCAUACCACCCUGAACGCACCCGAUCUCGUCUGAUCGCGGAAGCUAAGCAGGGUCGGGCCUGGUUAGUACUUGGAUGGGAGGAGCCACACUUAGAUCUGAGAAUGCUAGUCAGCUAGUAC
This 125-nucleotide ribosomal RNA is filed under the name Mustela putorius furo (domestic ferret). The record is from RNAcentral. Lineage: Eukaryota; Metazoa; Chordata; Mammalia; Carnivora; Mustelidae.